Molecule: ribosomal RNA, 209 nt
Filed under: uncultured bacterium
Lineage: Bacteria
Description: partial 16S ribosomal RNA
Rfam family: Bacterial small subunit ribosomal RNA
Source: RNAcentral
UGCGCAGGCGGUUAUAUAAGACAGAUGUGAAAUCCCCGGGCUCAACCUGGGAACUGCAUUUGUGACUGUAUAGCUAGAGUACGGCAGAGGGGGGAGUGGAAUUCCGCGUGUAGCAGUGAAAUGCGUAGAUAUGCGGAGGAACACCGAUGGCGAAGGCAAUCCCCUGGGCCUGUACUGACGCUCAUGCACGAAAGCGUGGGGAGCAAACA